GAUGAACGCUGGCGGCGUGCCUAAUACAUGCAAGUCGAGCGAACGGACGAGAAGCUUGCUUCUCUGAUGUUAGCGGCGGACGGGUGAGUAACACGUGGAUAACCUACCUAUAAGACUGGGAUAACUUCGGGAAACCGUAGCUAAUACCGGAUAAUAUUUUGAACCGCAUGGUUCAAAAGUGGAAGACGGUCUUGCUGUCACUUAUAGAUGGAUCCGCGCUGCAUUAGCUAGUUGGUAAGGUAACGGCUUACCAAGGCAACGAUGCAUAGCCGACCUGAGAGGGUGAUCGGACACACUGGAACAGAGACACGGUCCAGACUCCUACGGGAGGAAGCAGUAGGGAAUCUUCCGCAAGGGGCGAAAGCCUGACGGAGCAACGCCGCGUGAGUGAUGAAGGUCUUCGGAUCGUAAAACUCUGUUAUUAGGGAAGAACAUAUGUGUAAGUAACUGUGCACAUCAUGACGGUACCUAAUCAGAAAGCCACGGCUAACUACGUG
RNAcentral lists this ribosomal RNA (497 nucleotides) under uncultured bacterium. Its description in RNAcentral is "partial 16S ribosomal RNA". It matches the Rfam family "Bacterial small subunit ribosomal RNA", at positions 28 to 507 of the family's 1533-position model. The record is from RNAcentral.